This 28-nucleotide non-coding RNA is filed under the name Homo sapiens (human). The record is from RNAcentral. Lineage: Eukaryota; Metazoa; Chordata; Mammalia; Primates; Hominidae.
CACGGAGCAAUACCCUGAGGAUCAGGCC